RNAcentral lists this ribosomal RNA (913 nucleotides) under Bacillus sp. PCA-18. RNAcentral describes it as "bacterial SSU rRNA". It matches the Rfam family "Bacterial small subunit ribosomal RNA", at positions 1 to 905 of the family's 1533-position model. The record is from RNAcentral. Lineage: Bacteria; Bacillati; Bacillota; Bacilli; Caryophanales; Bacillaceae.
UUAGAGUUGAUCCCNGGCUCAGGACGAACGCNGGCGGCGUGCNUAAUACAUGCAAGUCGAGCGGAUCUUCAUUAGCUUGCUUUUGAAGAUCAGCGGCGGACGGGUGAGUAACACGUGGGCAACCUGCCUGUAAGACUGGGAUAACUUCGGGAAACCGGAGCUAAUACCGGAUAAUCCUUUCCCUCACAUGAGGGAAAGCUGAAAGACGGUUUCGGCUGUCACUUACAGAUGGGCCCGCGGCGCAUUAGCUAGUUGGUGAGGUAACGGCUCACCAAGGCCACGAUGCGUAGCCGACCUGAGAGGGUGAUCGGCCACACUGGGACUGAGACACGGCCCAGACUCCUACGGGAGGCAGCAGUAGGGAAUCUUCCGCAAUGGACGAAAGUCUGACGGAGCAACGCCGCGUGAACGAUGAAGGCUUUCGGGUCGUAAAGUUCUGUUGUCAGGGAAGAACAAGUACCGGAGUAACUGCCGGUACCUUGACGGUACCUGACCAGAAAGCCACGGCUAACUACGUGCCAGCAGCCGCGGUAAUACGUAGGUGGCAAGCGUUGUCCGGAAUUAUUGGGCGUAAAGCGCGCGCAGGCGGUUCCUUAAGUCUGAUGUGAAAGCCCCCGGCUCAACCGGGGAGGGUCAUUGGAAACUGGGGAACUUGAGUGCAGAAGAGGAGAGCGGAAUUCCACGUGUAGCGGUGAAAUGCGUAGAGAUGUGGAGGAACACCAGUGGCGAAGGCGGCUCUCUGGUCUGUAACUGACGCUGAGGCGCGAAAGCGUGGGGAGCGAACAGGAUUAGAUACCCUGGUAGUCCACGCCGUAAACNAUGAGUGCUAAGUGUUAGAGGGUUUCCCCCCCUUUAGUGCUGCANAAACGCAUUANCACUNCCCCUGGGAGUNCGNCNCAAGGUUAAACUCAAG